AAAAAUGAAGGAGGACGAAGAAAAGAGAAGAAAGGCAGUAUUGGAGCGCCAGAAAAAGAUGAAAGAGAAGGUAGCGUGGCAUAUUUUAUUUUCUCAAUUUGUGCAAAGCUCUUCCGAUGACAGUUCUUGUUUAUUCUGUUAUUUUUCGUACAUCAGUCUCCC
This 162-nucleotide non-coding RNA is filed under the name Palpitomonas bilix. The record is from RNAcentral.